UGUUUUCCAUCAGGGCUCUACCAUUUUACAGUCUUAAGACCAGAGUACAAGGGUUCCAAUUUCUCCACAUCCCACCAACACUUGUUAUCUUUUAUUUUUUUCAUGGUAGCCAUCCUAAUAGGUGUGAGGUGGUUAGAACCUUAUUUUCUAAUCUCAGCCCUGGGGACUUGCUUCUGCUGCAUUCCUUUUUCCAAGAGCAUCUUUCUCUCACCCCAGGGGGUUCUAGGAUCCCUUCAGGGGUCACCUGGGCACAUAGCCCCAAAUCCUGUCUGAAGAUUUGCUUCAAGUAGUUUUGGCUUCUGGAGAGGCAGGGAGCUCUAUCCACCAUUUUUGAGAGAGAUGGGAGAGAGAAUGUGUGCAAAUCCUUUGGGGGAGGCCCCCUGAAGACUUUAUUAUUGGGAGCAAAGUACCUACGUCCUGUGUUUCCAUUUGAUCAUCUGUUAGGUGUGCAGUUAUAUGCCUCCAUGAUACCCCAUAUCAUUGGUUUGUAGCAUUUAGAUCAACUAUAAUUAUUUGUGUGAUCAUCAGUUUAAUGUCUCCCUUCCUUCUUUCCCUCUACCCCUCAAGAAAGCGCCCUGAAGGUAGGGCCAUGUUUGAAUUGCUGUGCAUGGCUGUAUACAUAGCAUCUAGCAGAGGGAUCGACUCAAGAUACACACUCAGCAAUAAAUACCUGCUAAAUGAUGAAUGUAAAAGUUCAGUCCCUCAAGUCAUCCAGAGAACUUUCUCAGAUUACAUUCACCAGACUUCUUCUUUCUAGCACUGUGAGGGAAAAGUUUGAUUUUCAACUGUUAAUGGACUCUAAACCUGAAAAACAAAACAUAUGUUAUAGUGUUGGCUUUGACCAAAGGCCUGCCACCUCUGGCCUCAGAAGUUUUCUUGGUAACUAUAACUAUAAGCUG
Molecule: long non-coding RNA, 899 nt
Filed under: Homo sapiens (human)
Lineage: Eukaryota; Metazoa; Chordata; Mammalia; Primates; Hominidae
Description: HSALNT0031708
Source: RNAcentral